CAGUUAAAUUUGAAGUUUGGAUACACAAUAGAUAAUAUUUUAGUAUAAGUGUGUCACAUGCCAUGUUUGUGACAUACUUAUACUAAAAACAAUAUUCAUUGUUUAUCUGAAAUUCAAAUUUAACU
RNAcentral lists this microRNA precursor (125 nucleotides) under Loxodonta africana (African savanna elephant). RNAcentral describes it as "miRNA (ENSLAFG00000033233.1)". The stretch from base 37 to 88 matches the Rfam family "mir-1302 microRNA precursor family". The record is from RNAcentral. Lineage: Eukaryota; Metazoa; Chordata; Mammalia; Proboscidea; Elephantidae.